AAUACCCGAUGGCAUAGUUCUUCCGCAUGGUGGAACUAUUAAAGAAUUUCGGUCAUCGAUGGGGAUGCGUUCCAUUAGGUUGUUGGCGGGGUAACGGCCCACCAAGCCUUCGAUGGAUAGGGGUUCUGAGAGGAAGGUCCCCCACAUUGGAACUGAGACACGGUCCAAACUCCUACGGGAGGCAGCAUG
RNAcentral lists this ribosomal RNA (189 nucleotides) under uncultured bacterium. RNAcentral's name for it is "partial 16S ribosomal RNA". It matches the Rfam family "Bacterial small subunit ribosomal RNA", at positions 165 to 353 of the family's 1533-position model. The record is from RNAcentral.